RNAcentral lists this ribosomal RNA (395 nucleotides) under uncultured bacterium. Its description in RNAcentral is "bacterial SSU rRNA". It matches the Rfam family "Bacterial small subunit ribosomal RNA", at positions 328 to 715 of the family's 1533-position model. The record is from RNAcentral.
CAGCCAGACUCCUACGGGAGGCAGCAGUGGGGAAUAUUGCACAAUGGGCGCAAGCCUGAUGCAGCCAUGCCGCGUGUAUGAAGAAGGCCUUCGGGUUGUAAAGUACUUUCAGCGGGGAGGAAGGCGAUAAGGUUAAUAACCUUGUCGAUUGACGUUACCCGCAGAAGAAGCACCGGCUAACUCCGUGCCAGCAGCCGCGGUAAUACGGAGGGUGCAAGCGUUAAUCGGAAUUACUGGGCGUAAAGCGCACGCAGGCGGUCUGUCAAGUCGGAUGUGAAAUCCCCGGGCUCAACCUGGGAACUGCAUGCGAAACUGGCGGGCUGGAGUCGUGUAGAGGGGGGGAGAAUUCCGGGUGUAGCGGUGAAAUGCGUAGAGAUCUGGAGGAAUACCGGUGG